RNAcentral lists this ribosomal RNA (497 nucleotides) under uncultured bacterium. RNAcentral describes it as "partial 16S ribosomal RNA". It matches the Rfam family "Bacterial small subunit ribosomal RNA", at positions 28 to 507 of the family's 1533-position model. The record is from RNAcentral.
GACGAACGCUGGCGGCGUGCUUAAUACAUGCAAGUUGAGCGCUGAAGGUUGGUACUUGUACCAACUGGAUGUGCAGCGCACGGGUGAGUAACGCGUGGGGCAUCUGCCUUUGAGCGGGGGACAUCAUUUGGAAACGAAUGCUAAUACCGCAUAAAAACUUUAAACACAAGUUUUAUGUUUGAAAGAUGCAAUUGCAUCACUCAAAGAUGAUUUCGCGUUGUAUUAGUUAGUUGGUGAGGUAAAGGCUCACCAAGGCGUUGAUACAUAGCCGACCUGAGAGGAUGAUCAGCCGCAUUGAGACUGAGACACGGCCCAAACGCCUACGGGAAGCAGCAGUAGGGAAACUUCGGCAAUGGGCGGAAGUCUGACCGAACAACGCCGCGGGAGUGAAGAAGGAUUUCGGGUCGUAAAACACUGUUGGUAGAGAAGAACGUUGGUUAGAGUGGAAAGCUCAUCAAGUGACGGUAACUACCCAGAAAGGAACGGCUAACUACGUG